Long non-coding RNA from Coturnix japonica (Japanese quail), 338 nucleotides. RefSeq lists it as uncharacterized. Lineage: Eukaryota; Metazoa; Chordata; Aves; Galliformes; Phasianidae. The record is from RefSeq and is a predicted model, not a curated record.
CUUGGAGACUGCUCUUUGGUGGAGACUGCCUCAGCAGUUCCCAACAGACUGAAGGCUUCCAUUGGAUUUCUAUGAGCUCUGAGGCCCUUCCAGUCCACUCUGCAAGCUGUCAUUCAUGAUCUUCUGAUAGGUAAAAAGAACAAAGAGUGGCUGCUUCUUUCACUUCUUUCUUACUGAUGCCAGGGUCUGCUGAGUGAGACUGAAGACUGUACAAGCAAUAAGGAGAAAAACAGUCUCUUGACAGGCUUCCUUUUAUCUGCUGGCAAGGCCCAGAAGAUGGGAACAAAAGGAGUUCCUGCUGAGAUCCAAAAGCCAGAAGCUGUCACUCCAAAAUGAGC